RNAcentral lists this long non-coding RNA (350 nucleotides) under Cyanistes caeruleus (blue tit). RNAcentral describes it as "lncRNA (ENSCCEG00000016034.1)". The record is from RNAcentral. Lineage: Eukaryota; Metazoa; Chordata; Aves; Passeriformes; Paridae.
GAAGAUUUUUAAUGUCUCAGACUCCCUGAAUUCCCCAGGCCAAUACCAAAGGCUGAGAUGUAUGCAGUUGGUCAUGACAUUCACCUGGGAUUUGCUGAAGCCAAAAUAAAAUCAGAUAAAGCUCCAUGUUGAAUUUGGAUUUCCUGUGUCUCAGACUGUGGAAGAGCCAGGUACCUUUACCAAACAAGGGAUGUGCCUCUGAAGUUACACACAUCUGAACAAGGUGAUCCAAUAAAUGUGUUAUGGAGCAGAAUUAGGAAAAUGACUGCAGUAGGAACCCAGAUGGAUAAAUGUAAGUCCCCUGACUAUGAUGAGCACUUCCCUGUAGCUCUCUGCUGUCUUUUCCCCCU